This 440-nucleotide ribosomal RNA is filed under the name uncultured bacterium. RNAcentral's name for it is "partial 16S ribosomal RNA". It matches the Rfam family "Bacterial small subunit ribosomal RNA", at positions 338 to 795 of the family's 1533-position model. The record is from RNAcentral.
CCUACGGGUGGCAGCAGUGGGGAAUAUUGCACAAUGGGGGAAACCCUGAUGCAGCGACGCCGCGUGAGUGAGGAAGUAUUUCGGUAUGUAAAGCUCUAUCAGCAGGGAAGAAAAUGACGGUACCUGACUAAGAAGCCCCGGCUAACUACGUGCCAGCAGCCGCGGUAAUACGAAGGGGGCAAGCGUUAUCCGGAUUUACUGGGUGUAAAGGGAGCGUAGACGGAUAAGCAAGUCUGAUGUGAAAAUCCGGGGCUCAACCCCGGAAUUGCAUUGGAAACUGCAGAUCUAGAGUGUCGGAGAGGCAAGUGGAAUGCCUGGUGUAGCGGUGAAAUGCGUAGAGAUCAGGAGGAACACCAGUGGCGAAGGCGGCUUGCUGGACGAUGACUGACGUUGAGGCUCGAAAGCGUGGGGAGCAAACAGGAUUAGAUACCCGGGUAGUC